This 29-nucleotide small RNA is filed under the name Bombyx mori (domestic silkworm). RNAcentral describes it as "piRNA piR-bmo-1492456". The record is from RNAcentral. Lineage: Eukaryota; Metazoa; Arthropoda; Insecta; Lepidoptera; Bombycidae.
UCAGUAUUGUUUAUUACGGUUGGUAAUGC